CCAUAUCCAAUGGGAGUCGGAUACAAGGUCGGUGCAAUUGGAUCGUUUUAGAUUUUCCAGCUUUGGCAACAAAUUUCCAUAGCUAAAGCAACUAUUUUCUAAACAUAUGAGUAUAUAUGAACGCAGCAUUUUAGAAAACAUACUCUUACGUUCCAAAGGUAGAGCAAAAGUUAAUUAACCAUGAUACAUAUAAAAUAUGAAACCACUGCUUAGUCUUUGUCACAUUUUUACUGAUUUUCUUCUUCCAUUUUGCACUCUCCUUUGAGACAAUUUGAUAAUAUCUGAUAUCAAUUUUCAUAUGAAAGUUAAACAAUGAUACAAUCAUUUUGAAAUGUAAAUGAACUGUAUUUUAAAAGUGAUUGUUUUUUAUUUUCGACAGACAAAGACACAACUACAAGCACAGACGACAAUUCUACACUGAUAGUUGGAGUAGUUUUAGGAUUAGUUAUAGUCGCUUUAGCAUUAUAUGCUGUCUAUGUUACAAUCUUACUGAAACGGAAAAGUAAGCAAAAAGAAGGCACAUUGAAAGGGACAGAUAUCUCUGAGCAGUCGAACGCUAAAAUGUACGUAAAUAUGGGUUUCCUGACAGAAGACAGAGGCAGCCAAAGUUCAAAGACGCAAGCAGACGGAAAUAAAACAAUGGCAGACAGUAAAGAGUUUGAGAAUCAAUACACCGAUCUAGAUAACCAACAAAGAGCUGUUGAAUCGACUUAUGAUGCAAUAUCGUCCAUAUAGCACUGUUAUAGCAAUGUGACAUUACAAAGUAUUUGCAGCAAAUUGCAUAUGUAUUGUGAUAAAAAAGUAUGUUGCCAGCCCGCUUAGUUCAAGACAGAGAGAGAGAGAGAGAGAGAGAGGAUCUACGGAUCACGGGGUUAUGAGUUUAAUCCCCGGGCGAGGCGUUCGUUUUCCGUGAUGAUUUGAUAAAAGACAUGGUGUCUGAAAUCCUCCAGCUUCCACGAAGUUGGUAGUUACUUUCUGAGAACAAGUCAGUAUUGGUACAGAAUCCAAGAGCACAUAUUACGUUAAUUACCCACCGUAAUAUAACUGAAAUACUUUUGAAAAACAGCGCUAUAUAAACCGCAAAAUACAACAAAAACAAUGUUUGCUAUAUUUACACGUGUAGAAUAAGUUCAGAAUUGACAUUUCGUACCAACAUUGUCAUUUAUUUUAUUGUUUUUUAUAUGUAUUACUCUGAUGAUGUGAACUAGUGAAAGUUAACAAUAACAUAUACACUGUUUUAAAAUGUA
Mercenaria mercenaria is the source of this 1247-nucleotide long non-coding RNA. RefSeq lists it as uncharacterized. The transcript has 3 exons. Lineage: Eukaryota; Metazoa; Mollusca; Bivalvia; Venerida; Veneridae. The record is from RefSeq and is a predicted model, not a curated record.